RNAcentral lists this ribosomal RNA (441 nucleotides) under uncultured soil bacterium. RNAcentral describes it as "bacterial SSU rRNA". It matches the Rfam family "Bacterial small subunit ribosomal RNA", at positions 26 to 474 of the family's 1533-position model. The record is from RNAcentral.
AGAUUGAACGCUAGCGGGAUGCUUUACACAUGCAAGUCGAACGGCAGCGCGGACUUCGGUCUGGCGGCGAGUGGCGAACGGGUGAGUAAUAUAUCGGAACGUGCCCAGUAGCGGGGGAUAACUACGCGAAAGCGUGGCUAAUACCGCAUACGACCUACGGGUGAAAGCGGGGGAUCGCAAGACCUCGCGCUAUUGGAGCGGCCGAUGUCGGAUUAGCUUGUUGGUAGGUAAAGCCUACCAAGGCUACGAUCCGUAGCUGGUCUGAGAGGACGACCAGCCACACUGGACUGAGACACGGCCCAGACUCUACGGGAGCAGCAGUGGGAAUUUGGACAUGGGCGAAAGCCUGAGUCCAGUCCAUCGACCGCGUGACGGGAAGAACGGCCGUUCGGGUUAGUAAACCGUCUUUUACGGUACGACGGUAAAGGUAAACCGGUUACG